UGCCAGCCGCCGCGGUAAUACGGAGGGUGCAAACGUUGCUCGGAUUUACUGGGCGUAAAGGGAUCGCAGGCGGCCUAUUAAGUCUGAUGUGAAAGCCCGGGGCUCAACCUCGGAACUGCCUCUAAUACUGCUAGUCUUGAGUUCGAGAGAGGUGAGUGGAAUUCCGAGUGUAGAGGUGAAAUUCGUAGAUAUUCGGAGGAACACCAGUGGCGAAGGCGGCUCACUGGCUCGAUACUGACGCUGAGGUGCGAAAGCGUGGGGAGCAAACAGGAUUAGAUA
Molecule: ribosomal RNA, 279 nt
Filed under: uncultured bacterium
Lineage: Bacteria
Description: partial 16S ribosomal RNA
Rfam family: Bacterial small subunit ribosomal RNA
Source: RNAcentral